UGGGGAAUUUUGGACAAUGGGCGCAAGCCUGAUCCAGCAAUGCCGCGUGCAGGAUGAAGGCCUUCGGGUUGUAAACUGCUUUUGUACGGAACGAAAAGCCUCUCUCUAAUACAGGGGGGUGAUGACGGUACCGUAAGAAUAAGCACCGGCUAACUACGUGCCAGCAGCCGCGGUAAUACGUAGGGUGCAAGCGUUAAUCGGAAUUACUGGGCGUAAAGCGUGCGCAGGCGGUUUUGUAAGACAGUGGUGAAAUCCCCGGGCUCAACCUGGGAACUGCCAUUGUGACUGCAAGGCUGGAGUGCGGCAGAGGGGGAUGGAAUUCCGCGUGUAGCAGUGAAAUGCGUAGAUAUGCGGAGGAACACCGAUGGCGAAGGCAAUCCCCUGGGCCUGCACUGACGCUCAUGCAUGAAAGCGUGGGGAGCAAACAGGAUUAGAUACCCUGGUAGUCCACGCCCUAAACGAUGUCAACUGGUUGUU
RNAcentral lists this ribosomal RNA (477 nucleotides) under uncultured bacterium. RNAcentral describes it as "partial 16S ribosomal RNA". It matches the Rfam family "Bacterial small subunit ribosomal RNA", at positions 355 to 824 of the family's 1533-position model. The record is from RNAcentral.